RNAcentral lists this non-coding RNA (254 nucleotides) under Rhodothermus marinus. Lineage: Bacteria; Pseudomonadati; Rhodothermota; Rhodothermia; Rhodothermales; Rhodothermaceae. RNAcentral also lists the same sequence under 1 other name. The record is from RNAcentral.
UCUUCGACAUGCGCCGCUGGUUCCGCCACGGGCGGAUGAAAAGGGAAUCCAGUGGCCCGGCCUUCGGGCCGGGGAAUCUGGAGCUGUACCCGCAACUGUGAGCCGUGGCUGCGGCCGGCGGGCGAAGAAGCCGACGGUCACUGUCUGCCCCGGGCAGAUGGGAAGGCCGGCGGUGGAGCCCGCGUCGGGUCCGUUCCGUCGUCUCGACGGAACCCACGGUGAGCCAGGAGACCUGCCAGCGGCGUCAGGCCGAA